Sander lucioperca (pikeperch) is the source of this 118-nucleotide long non-coding RNA. RefSeq lists it as uncharacterized. NCBI's taxonomy places the organism in Eukaryota, Metazoa, Chordata, Actinopteri, Perciformes, Percidae. The record is from RefSeq and is a predicted model, not a curated record. The transcript is spliced from 3 exons.
CUGAUAUUCAAACAAAUACUUGUUUGUGGCUACUUGGGAGACGGGGAAGGUGGGGCCUUUUCAUGUUGUGUCCUAGGCACCCCUAGACUGGGGCGUAACAUAUAUAUAAAUGGUCUGC